Molecule: transfer RNA, 73 nt
Filed under: Nanobdella aerobiophila
Lineage: Archaea; Nanobdellati; Nanobdellota; Nanobdellia; Nanobdellales; Nanobdellaceae
Description: tRNA-Ile
Rfam family: tRNA
About the family: Transfer RNA (tRNA) molecules are approximately 80 nucleotides in length. Their secondary structure includes four short double-helical elements and three loops (D, anti-codon, and T loops).
Source: RNAcentral
GGGCCUAUGGCUCAGAGGCUAGAGCGUCCGGCUGAUAACCGGGAGGUCGGGGGUUCGAAUCCCCCUAGGCCCA